CGUCACCGCCGCGGCGGCGCGCCCGGCCCGAGAUUGGAAGAAACGCGAGGAGGAGUCUCGUUUGAUAUCUAUGGAGCUUCCAGGCUACAAGCGCUGGGAAGUGGGGAAUAUCUUCUUUUCAACAGGAUGAAAUUUCUGUUUCUAACCACCAUGGGCCACAAGAUAUUGGACUUGGAACAACUAAUAGACCUGUGAAUUUCCAUGGCUCCUAUAUUUGAAUUUGCUGUGGUAUAAGACAAAUGAAAAUAAAAGUCUCACACUCUAA
Molecule: long non-coding RNA, 265 nt
Organism: Trachemys scripta elegans
Lineage: Eukaryota; Metazoa; Chordata; Testudines; Emydidae
Exons: 2
Source: RefSeq, a predicted model, not a curated record